This 337-nucleotide ribosomal RNA is filed under the name uncultured Bacillota bacterium. RNAcentral describes it as "bacterial SSU rRNA". It matches the Rfam family "Bacterial small subunit ribosomal RNA", at positions 28 to 351 of the family's 1533-position model. Lineage: Bacteria; Bacillati; Bacillota. The record is from RNAcentral.
GACGAACGCUGGCGGCGUGCCUAAUACAUGCAAGUCGAGCGGAGUGUUAGAGAAGCUUGCUUCUUUAACACUCAGCGGCGGACGGGUGAGUAACGCGUAGGUAACCUGCCUAUAAGACUGGGAUAACAUUCGGAAACGGAUGCUAAUACCGGAUACGCAUUUUGAUCGCAUGAUCGGAAUGGGAAAGACGGAGCAAUCUGUCACUUAUAGAUGGACCUGCGGCGCAUUAGCUAGUUGGUGAGGUAAUGGCUCACCAAGGCGACGAUGCGUAGCCGACCUGAGAGGGUGAUCGGCCACACUGGGACUGAGACACGGCCCAGACUCCUACGGGUGGCUG